ACUUCGUAGUGAGUGUUAGAGCCGCCCGUACCCCAAACCGACACAGGUGAUCAGGUAGAGAAUACCAAGGCGAUCGAGUGAACCAUGGUAAAGGAACUCGGCAAAAUGCCCCCGUAACUUCGGGAGAAGGGGGGCCGGAUGCGUUACAUGGCUUGCCCAUGGAAGCGUUGAUGGCCGCAGAGACCAGGCCCAAGCGACUGUUUACUAAAAACACAGGUCCGUGCGAAGAAGUAAUUCGAUGUAUACGGACUGACGCCUGCCCGGUGCUGGAACGUUAAGGGGACAGGUUAGCUGGUUUAGGCCGGCUAAGCUUUGAACUUAAGCGCCAGUAAACGGCGGUGGUAACUAUAACCAUCCUAAGGUAGCGAAAUUCCUUGUCGGGUAAGUUCCGACCUGCACGAAUGGCGUAACGACUUGGGCGCUGUCUCAACCAUGGACUCGGCGAAAUUGCAUUACGAGUAAAGAUGCUCGUUACGCGCAGCAGGACGGAAAGACCCCGGGACCUUUACUACAACUUGGUAUUGGUGGUCGGUACAACUUGUGUAGGAUAGGUGGGAGACUGUGAAAUCCGGACGCCAGUUCGGGUGGAGUCAUCGUUGAAAUACCACUCUGGUUGUUCUGGCUGUCUAACUUCGGUCCAUUAUCUGGAUCAGGGACAGUGCCUGGUGGGUAGUUUGACUGGGGCGGUCGCCUCCUAAAAGGUAACGGAGGCGCUCAAAGGUUCCCUCAGCCUGGUUGGCAAUCAGGUGUCGAGUGUAAGUGCACAAGGGAGCUUGACUGUGAGACAGACAUGUCGAGCAGGGACGAAAGUCGGAACUAGUGAUCCGGCGGUGGCAUGUGGGAGCACCGUCGCUCAACGGAUAAAAGGUACCCCGGGGAUAACAGGCUGAUCUUCCCCAAGAGUCCAUAUCGACGGGAUAGUUUGGCACCUCGAUGUCGGCUCGUCGCAUCCUGGGGCUGGAGUAGGUCCCAAGGGUUGGGCUGUUCGCCCAUUAAAGCGGCACGCGAGCUGGGUUUAGAACGUCGUGAGACAGUUCGGUCCCUAUCCGCUGCGCGCGCAGGAGACUAGAGAAGGGCUGCCCCUAGUACGAGAGGACCGGGGUGGACGAACCUCUGGUGUGCCAGUUGUUCCGCCAGGAGCACGGCUGGUUGGCUACGUUCGGGAGUGAUAACCGCUGAAAGCAUCUAAGCGGGAAGCACGCUUCAAGAUGAGGUCUCCCACCGAGUUAAUCGGGUAAGGCCCCCAGUAGACCACUGGGUUGAUAGGCCAGAGGUGGAAGCGCCGUAAGGUGUGGAGCUGACUGGUACUAAUAGGCCGAGGGCUUGUCAC
This 1330-nucleotide ribosomal RNA is filed under the name metagenome. RNAcentral describes it as "bacterial LSU rRNA". It matches the Rfam family "Bacterial large subunit ribosomal RNA", at positions 1617 to 2925 of the family's 2925-position model. The record is from RNAcentral.